GCUCCAAUGGCCUAGUGGUUAGUGCGUCCGCCUCAAAUGUGGGAGGUCGUGGGUUCGAUCCUUGGCCAAGUGAUACU
Non-coding RNA from Potamilus streckersoni, 77 nucleotides. The record is from the annotation of a GenBank genome assembly. Lineage: Eukaryota; Metazoa; Mollusca; Bivalvia; Unionida; Unionidae.